GGAGUUUGGUCCGUGUCUCAGUACCAAUGUGGGGGACCUUCCUCUCAGAACCCCUACUGAUCGAUGGCUUGGUGGGCCGUUACCCCGCCAACAACCUAAUCAGACGCAUCCCCACUCCCACUAGCGGUAAACCUUUAGCUUCAUAUCUGAUGCCAUCAACGAAGAACAUAGGGUAUUAAUC
RNAcentral lists this ribosomal RNA (181 nucleotides) under uncultured Prevotella sp. RNAcentral describes it as "partial 16S ribosomal RNA". The record is from RNAcentral. Lineage: Bacteria; Pseudomonadati; Bacteroidota; Bacteroidia; Bacteroidales; Prevotellaceae.